AUCACCACGGUGGUUAAGAAAUUCAUCCCAACAAAUUAUAUGUCAUCAAUUAGCAACAUUAGAAGGCAAUAGGUUGUUGUAUGUUAGGCUAUUAUGGUUUCCCUUUGUGUUAUACCUUUUGGUUUGUGGGUUGUAACCCGUUUUUAGCAUUACACGUGUAUUGUGAGUUAAGAUAAAAAGAAUCAAGGGAGAGAAAGGGGGCUUUUCGCCAUAUUAAUUAAAUUUGUGUUUUUUGUUUUAAGUUUUCUUAUCCCUUUUUACAAGGUUUGAGACAAGGGUUAUGUAACUUAUCUUUGCCCUAUAUCUGAACCGUGUAUGCAUCUUCACCGACGAGUUACAUGGUUACACGGUAUGUGAAUUUUGAAGGUUAUUUCCUUUUUGUUAAUCAAUGGUGACUUGGGAACUAGGGAUUCCGACCAUGGGUCAAAUUUCCAUAUUUACUCUUGCAAGUCUAAUUAGAUUUAUAGGGAAUCAGGAUAAACAUGUAUGGAUUGUUAUUCAUAAUUAUUUUAGGCCACAUGUUCCGUCCAGGCUUUGAAAUACAAUCAAAGAUAUGAAAUUAUAAUACUAGGUUAAGAAAUUGUCCGUGCGCAAAACGGGCCCCAAAGAAAUCUGAGCAAGAACAAGGUGGUAAGACCAAGCAUCGAUACAGGUGUUGGUAUUAUGGGAAGCGAUAUCGGUACUUAUUUUUAUAGUUUUGAAUUAAUUUAAAACAUGACUUUAUUUAUUGUGUUACAUCGACUUUGUUUUCUUUGACUAAAUAAGACAAUUUUGUGUAAUGAAGCCGUUGUAAAUAAACUUUUAUUUUUGUAUCGUAUAUUAUAAUAUACAAGUACAUGUACCGUAACAAACCAAGUUGUAUUGAAAAAUAUUUAUUUUCUUGUUA
Molecule: long non-coding RNA, 886 nt
Organism: Helianthus annuus (common sunflower)
Lineage: Eukaryota; Viridiplantae; Streptophyta; Magnoliopsida; Asterales; Asteraceae
Exons: 2
Source: RefSeq, a predicted model, not a curated record